CUGUGCAAAGGUAGCAUAAUCAUUAGUUUUUUAAUUGAAAGCUGGAAUGAAUGGUUUAAUAAGAAAAAUUCUGUCUCAUUUUUAAGUUUAAAAUUUUAUUUUUAAGUUAAAAAGCUUAAAUUUAUUAAAAAGACGAGAAGACCCUUUAGAGUUUUAUAAGAAAAAAUUGAUUAUUAUUAGGAUUAUAAAUUUAAAAUUGGUUUUUAUUAUUUUAUUGGGGUGAUAUAAAAAUUUAAGUAACUUUUUAUUUAUUUAAUCAUUAAUUUAUGUGUAAAUGAUCCUGAUUUUUGGAUUAUAAGAAUAAUUACCUUAGGGAUAACAGCGUAAUUUUUUUUGAGAGUUCUUAUCGAAAAAGAAGUUUGCGACCUCGAUGUUGGAUUAAAAUUUAGUUUUGGCGUAGAAGUUAAAAAUUUAGGUCUGUUCGACCUUUAAAAUU
This 436-nucleotide ribosomal RNA is filed under the name Nacerdes umenoi. RNAcentral's name for it is "partial 16S ribosomal RNA". The stretch from base 315 to 436 matches the Rfam family "Bacterial large subunit ribosomal RNA", at positions 2473 to 2595 of the family's 2925-position model. The record is from RNAcentral. Lineage: Eukaryota; Metazoa; Arthropoda; Insecta; Coleoptera; Oedemeridae.